Molecule: small RNA, 514 nt
Filed under: Pongo abelii (Sumatran orangutan)
Lineage: Eukaryota; Metazoa; Chordata; Mammalia; Primates; Hominidae
Description: retained intron
Source: RNAcentral
GUGCCUUUAGUGUGGGAGGCGAGGCCAUCUGGGGGUGUAUUCGCUGCUUCAGAACUGCCUUGACCAGAGCUCGGGGAUGCCCUUCUCGGUGCCCUCCUCCUGGGUGGAGGCAGGUUCUCUGGAGGUCCUGAGGCAGCUGCUGGGCAUGGGUUGAGCCACUGCACACCCUGCCUGGAGACAGCUCAGCUCCUCCCUUUGCCUUUCAAGAGCAAAUGCCCUGGAGGAGCAGCUGAAGGAACAGGAGCUGAGAGCCUGUGAGAUGGUCCUGGAAGAGACCCGGCGUCAGAAGGAGCUCCUGUGCAAGAUGGAGAGGGAGAAGAGCAUUGAGAUAGAGAACCUGCAGACCAGGCUACAGCAACUGGACGAGGAGAACAGUGAACUCCGGUCCUGCACGCCCUGUCUGAAGGCCAACAUUGAGCGUCUGGAGGAGGUGAGCUGCCAACAGCCUGGAGCUGUGGCCAGCGGGGCCAGACUGUGACCUGCCGGUGGGGCAGCCGAGGUAGCCCUGAGCUCU